GACGAACGCUGGCGGCGUGCCUAAUACAUGCAAGUCGAACGAGUGGCGGACGGGUGAGUAAUGUCUGGGAAACUGCCCGAUGGAGGGGGAUAACUAUUGGAAACGGUAGCUAAUACCGCAUACCAUCGGAUGUGCCUAGAUGGGAUUAGUUAGGAGGUGGGGUAACGGCUCACCUAGGCGACGAGCCCUAGCUGGUCUGAGAGGAUGACGAGCCACACGGGAACUGAGACACGGUCCAGACUCCUACGGGAGGCAGCAGUGGGGAAUAUUGCACAAUGGGCGCAAGCCUGAUGCAGCCAUGCCGCGGGUAUGAAGAAGGCCUUCGGGUUGUAAAGUACUUUCAGCGGGGAGGCGGUACUCGCAGAAGAAGCACCGGCUAACUCCGUGCCAGCAGCCGCGGUAAUUC
RNAcentral lists this ribosomal RNA (406 nucleotides) under uncultured bacterium. RNAcentral's name for it is "partial 16S ribosomal RNA". It matches the Rfam family "Bacterial small subunit ribosomal RNA", at positions 28 to 526 of the family's 1533-position model. The record is from RNAcentral.